This 385-nucleotide unclassified non-coding RNA is filed under the name uncultured Actinomycetes bacterium. RNAcentral describes it as "uncultured actinobacterium contains 16S-23S intergenic spacer region". The record is from RNAcentral. Lineage: Bacteria; Bacillati; Actinomycetota; Actinomycetes.
UCCUCGUUUAAGCGAGGCAGUCUGUCCAGAGUGCUUUCUUCUCUCGAAGGAGUGGCAACAGGACACAAGGGUUGCGCUCGUUGCGGGACUUAACCCAACAUCUCACGACACGAGCUGACGACAACCAUGCACCACCUGUAAACCGGCCACAAGUGGCUGACACAUCUCUGCGCCAUUCCGGUUCAUGUCAAGCCUAGGUAAGGUUCUUCGCGUUGCAUCGAAUUAAGCCACAUGCUCCGCCGCUUGUGCGGGCCCCCGUCAAUUCCUUUGAGUUUUAGCCUUGCGGCCGUACUCCCCAGGCGGGGUGCUUAAUGCGUUAGCUUCGGAACGGAGAGGGUUGAAGGCCUCCCCACACCUAGCACCCAACGUUUACGGCUGGGACUAC